UUUGCCAAGGAUGUUUUCAUUGAUCAAGAACGAAAGUUAGGGGAUCGAAGACGAUCAGAUACCGUCCUAGUCUUAACCAUAAACUAUGCCGACUAGAGAUUGGAGGUCGUUAUCUUUACGACUCCUUCAGCACCUUAUGAGAAAUCAAAGUCUUUGGGUUCCGGGGGGAGUAUGGUCGCAAGGCUGAAACUUAAAGGAAUUGACGGAAGGGCACCACCAGGAGUGGAGCCUGCGGCUUAAUUUGACUCAACACGGGGAAACUUACCAGGUCCAGACAUAGUAAGGAUUGACAGAUUGAUAGCUCUUUCUUGAUUCUAUGGGUGGUGGAGC
Molecule: ribosomal RNA, 330 nt
Filed under: Polarella glacialis
Lineage: Eukaryota; Dinophyceae; Suessiales; Suessiaceae
Description: partial Eukaryotic small subunit ribosomal RNA
Rfam family: Eukaryotic small subunit ribosomal RNA
Source: RNAcentral